This 274-nucleotide long non-coding RNA is filed under the name Gossypium barbadense (sea-island cotton). RNAcentral describes it as "long non-coding RNA (GBAR_LNC014285)". The record is from RNAcentral. Lineage: Eukaryota; Viridiplantae; Streptophyta; Magnoliopsida; Malvales; Malvaceae.
AAAACAAAACACAAACAGAUUUGUUAGAAGUGAUUUUAAAGACAAAAGCAAAUUGUUUUGUGUAAGAAUGUUUGAAAUAACAAGAAAAGAUUAAAACUCCUAAUUUUGAUGUGUUUCUUGAUACAACAAGAUAGGAGAACAUCUUUCUUGAAGCAACUUUAACCUAGAACGAAAAUCAAUAAAAAUCAGCAAGCCAAACCAACAAGAACUAAAUUAAAUAAGCAAGAAAUGAUAAAUUAAUGAUAGAAAAAAGAAGAUGACGUCCUAAGAAGCC